GAGGACACAGGGCUCCAGGGAGGUGGAGGGGCUUGCCUGAGAUCAUAAUGCAAGUUAUUAAUGUUAAGAACAUGAACUCUGAAAUCUGAUGCUGGUGUUUGAAUCCUGGCUCAGUUCCUUUCUGGCCGUGUGAUCCUGGUCGCUUCAGUCGUGUCCGACUCUGUGAGACCCCUUAGACGGCAGCCCACCAGGCCCCGGCGUCCCUGGGAUUCUCCAGGCAAGAACACGAGUGGGUUGCCACUUCCUCCUCCAAUGCAUGAAAGUAAAAAGUGAAAGUGAAGUCGCUCAUUCGUGUCCGACUCUUAGCGACCCCAUGGACUGCAGCCUACCAGGCUCCUCUGUCCAUGGGAUUUUCCAGGCAAGAGUACUGGAGUGGGGUGCCAUUGCCUUCUCCCAACAUGAAGAAUAAUUAAGGUAAUUGGGAGAUAAAAGGAACUGCCUAAUUUGGA
Molecule: long non-coding RNA, 449 nt
Organism: Bos taurus (domestic cattle)
Lineage: Eukaryota; Metazoa; Chordata; Mammalia; Artiodactyla; Bovidae
Source: Ensembl